UCAAGAUUUUUGUGUCAAGCAUUCUACGUAAAAGUAUAAAUUCGGCGUGUCGAAUAAUAUCAAUAUUGCCAAAGACAACCAUCGGCAGAAAAGAUGAAGGUGGUGUUUCUCGUCUGCUUGCUUAUCUGCGCAACGUUUGUUCCGGUAUCUGCUCAAUGCGAAACGUAUUGUUGUCAGUACAAUUCUAACAAUUCUAUCUGUACAAGAGUUUGCUGCGUACCUGAGUAUAGAAAAAGACGAUCCUUGUCCUCAUUCAAAUUCAAAUUCAAAGAACCAAGUGCUGUUCAUGAGCCAUUUAAGCAGAGGUUUAAACAUCAGUAAAAUGAUGGUUAUGGCAGUCUUUGACAUCCACGUGAUGAUACAAGAGUGAACUGGAGUUUCCUGUUUAUUUCUCAGAAUUUGCUGAUCUUCCCUAUUACACUGUGCACUUUGUAUUCUUCCCUGCUUGAAUAAAAAGUUAAAAUCA
Molecule: long non-coding RNA, 466 nt
Organism: Ostrea edulis (European flat oyster)
Lineage: Eukaryota; Metazoa; Mollusca; Bivalvia; Ostreida; Ostreidae
Exons: 4
Source: RefSeq, a predicted model, not a curated record